GGAGUACGUCAUACUAUGCAGGCCUUUGACUGAUUGAGGGAAGCAGAAGGGGUGGGUAUUCCAUCUUGGAGCCAGAGUGAGUUGGACCGAGGAAGUGAAAGCCAUCUCAGGGACAGGAAGCUGCAAUUGCCAGCUCAGCCCCGAAUCUCUGAGCACCAGCCUACCUUCUACUGUCAGAAGGACUUCAGCUUCCAGUAAUGGGAGAAAAACACCAAAUGCGGGGACGAGAGAAAAACACGAAGCUCAUUUCUUCAGGUACUUUUGGAGUCAACCAUUCCACACUUCGAGUCCAAGCAGAGUACACUUGAGAAAUGAAUGUGGACUUCUGCCAACUUCAGAGUAUGAAGACCGGGGCGGGGCACUUUACAAUGCUAUUGGAUCACAAUUGACCUGACUCUUUUUGGUUGCUAAGACAAGCAUCACUUGGUCUUUCCCCAUGUAUGAAAUCUGUGUGCAGGCAAGCUCCUGUCAACUCAUGUGUGCAUGUGAUCAGAUGUUUGCACAUAUUUGAGGAUAAAGUCCUUGUAGGGAGAUUGCUAAAAAAUGGGUAAUGAUAAUAACGGCUUAGCAUUUCCCACCUACUGUGCUAAACGUGUUACAUGUCCUCAAGCUCUCUCUAUGAGAUAGGUAUUAUUAUUGCUAUUUUCAACAUGAAAAGACUGGAACUCCAAUAUAUUAAGUAAAUUGCUUAAGAUCACACAGAAAUUGUAAGAGACAGAGAUUUGAACUGUCUUUCCCCAGAAUUUGGGCAUUUUGGAAAACCAUUGCACUGGUGCUAGGUUUGCGUUUGAAUAGGUAGAUAGAAGUACCAAGCUGGAGACACACACAUGCCUGAGAAAUGUCUUAGGGAUAAGAGUGGAAAAGAUGUGGCCCAGUGACACUAGUAGCCUAGUGCAGUUGGAGAAGAGGCAUAAAUUCUUACAGGUCAAUAGAGAAAGAAUUCCUGCAAUGGUUAUCUGAGGUCAUGUUGAGGAGGGUCCAAAUGUUGAUUCAAAGAAUGUAUCCUUUUUGCUUUAUCUAGUGUUACAAUUAUUAAAGACCAAGUUUCUGGAGCUUAAGAAGUUUUCAGAAACUAUAAAUAAAACUAUUUUCAGAGCUGUACA
RNAcentral lists this long non-coding RNA (1103 nucleotides) under Oryctolagus cuniculus (rabbit). RNAcentral's name for it is "lncRNA (ENSOCUG00000037759.1)". The record is from RNAcentral. Lineage: Eukaryota; Metazoa; Chordata; Mammalia; Lagomorpha; Leporidae.